UUUUUUUUUUUUUCUGUAUUCUGCUUUAAUUCCACAGUGGUGAGAAAAAUCCCAAUUUACCCCAAAAAAGUAAUGCAUUUUACCCAGAAAAGUAAUGCAUUCUUGCUCAGCCAACUUGACCGUCCCCUAUAAAAGUUGGGCAUGAAUUUUUACCAAAAUGUGGAAGACAGCCUUCCUAGUCAAUGGUACAUUUACAAGACAGUCAAAUAUCUGCACAGAGUAAGUAAGAAAAUCGUCACUACGGGGCUUGCACGGAGCCCAGGUCAUCUGGCAGUUCAUGAGCCAUAUGAGGAAGACACAAGCAAAUGACCAUGCCUGGCAGUUGGAGCAACAGACACUGUUGAUGUUAGGGACAGAGAAGCCUUUCCCUCAUGGGAAAGCCUGGGACCUUUGCUCUCCACUUCCUCCUCCUCUCGACCUUGGAACCUGUAAGAUUUUUAAGUUUUGCCACUGAGUAGGCAAAGCUGGGAUGGCCCAACACCACUGAAGAUUUUGUUUCUUGUUUGUGAUGGAAGGGACAAUGAGGAUGCAUUUGAGAUGAGCCUGGAAGGAGGGGAUGAAUUUAAACAGCCAAAUGGAGGAAGAGGAGCCUUCUGGGAGAGGCAGUGGCAUGCGAAGGAGAGGGGGGAGCCCCUACAGGGAGCCUACACUUGCAGAUUAGGAGCCCUAGCAAGCCUAUUCAGGAGGCCGAGCUGCGUGCGGUUCUGCAGGGCUAAAUACCCCACCCUGUCCCCAGAAUCAUCAGCAGCCAGGAAUCGGAGAGGGGAUGAGGGGAUGGGAUGGCAAAGGUGAAGGAACAGUCGUGAACAUCUCUCUUCCCCUGGCCAAGUUCCCCUGCCAAAGCUGUUCGGGUUCCCCUUUGUCUUCCCUAAGCCCCCCUGCGAUAAUGACCAGCUGUGGGGGCGAAUGUGUAGAGGGCUUUCUGAGCCCCUGCAGAGAACUGAAUAAUAGGGCUUUGCAAACGAGGGGCUUUAAAAGUCCUUAAUCCCAAGAAAUUUAAUAAUAUUCACAAACACAAGUUUAAAUGAAAAACUUGAAAAGCAAAAAAUGUCUGCUACAUUAAUAAAGCAUUAGUGGACUGUAAUCAGGUUUUGAUUUAAUCUCUUUAGGAAGCCCUUAAUACUCUGCAUCAAAUACAAAGCUAAUCUUCUUGUUUCCUCUGAAACUCCACCUCAGCAAAUUGUUCAUCCAGCCGUGGAAAGAAAUUGAAGCCUCUUCAAAAUUUAUUAUGCCCACUGGCAGACCAGUUGAGGUUUUCAGAUCUUAUUUUAUAUUCUAUGCAUCUCACUUUGGACUCAAUGUGAUUCUUUUGUGGAUUAAACCGUCCUCUAUCAAUAGUCAUUUCUAAAUUUUGCAGCUUUGCAGGUUUUAAGCUGCAAAUUUUAAAAUACUUUUCCAGUUGUGACCCACAGAUAUUAUUUCUCUGCUUCCCCUUCCUGCCCCACCCCCAUCCCCCUCUUUUCCUCCUCUCAUGUCUCCCUAUAAUUUACAGACAUGCUGGGUCCACCUGGGCACAAGCUGAACACUGUGUGUCUCCCUCUUCUUUUGUGUCCGGGCCACAUUGCUCUUUCAUUCUGGCUCCCCAAGGCUUCCUUAGGGGAGCUGAUCUCAGAUUCCAGGCAUGGGCAUCUGUGUGCUUAGAAUCCACCCAUUUUCCUCUGCAAGCAGCAACAACUCUUUCCCUAUUUUUCAUUAUUUUUAAAAAAUAUUUUACUUAUUUAUUUGAGAGAGAGUGUGAGCAAAAGAGAGAGAGAGAGAGCAUGAGCCAGGAAGGGGGCCAAGGGAGAGGGAGAAGCAGACUCCCCCUUGAGCAGAGAGCCCCGAGGAGGACGAGGAUGCGGGGCUCAAUCCCAGGACUCCGGGGAUCAUGACCUGAGCCCAAGGCAGAUGCUCAACCCACUGAGCCACCCAGUCGCCUCCUAUUUUUCAUUAUUUUACGAAGUGUGCCAAUUUGCCUCUCUCUGAGCUGGGGGUAAAUAAAAUGCAUCACAAAAACUCUCCCACCCCCGUUACCCAAGAUAAAUAGAGAAUUUUAGAAAACUCUCAAUGACAAGACAGUUAUAUUCCCAUAACUAUGGCUACUUGGGCUAUUUCACGUGGCCUACUGCCUCAUGUUUGACGUGUUAUAGGGUUGCCAUUGAAAACUAUGCAGAAAAAAAAAAAAGAAAACUAUGCAGAAUUGUGGAAGCCACAUUUUUUUUAUCCUUUCAUGAAAAGGGACUGAUUCUGAGAAAUAGGUUGGAAUCUAACUCAGCUGAAAUAUCGUGAUCUUUAUAAAAUAUAUCAAAAGAUGUCUACAAAUUCGAGGAAACGGGGGUACACACUAAAAUCUGCAGUUUUAAUAACUACUGGAGCAGUAAAAGCCACUUAUAUUAAAUAUGUUAGGCAUUGUUUUCCACAACUGACAAGUUCCUUAUGCUUGUUAUUACAUUUCACAAUACUCCACAACUGUAGAUCACAUUAAAUUUUAUGUGUUCAUACGUAUUUUCUCACUUGUACCCACAACAGCCCCGUGAGGUAGGCAGAGCAAAUAUUAUUAUGCUUCCCAUUUUACAGAUGAGGAAACUGGGAAUGGGAUGAAGUUUACCCAACUAGUCAGUAGUGGGGGUGAUGCAUCCCAGUUCUCUGCCUUCCUGUUCAACAUGGGUGUUGCCAGUAAAUACCACUGGGGUAAACUCGAAUUCUCUGCCAUUCGGUAAUAAAGACGUUCACCUUCUGGAUAAACUGGAUAGAAUUACAACAGGGAACUACCUGACCCUUAACCGAGAAGCAGAGGGAAGAGAAUGGGGCUGAACGUCCAGGGGAAGAGAUCUGUACCACCCCCGGGUCAACCGCUCACCUGCUGCCAUGAAAUCGCAACUAAAAUUUUGCUGCUUCAUGCUCUCGCCUUCUCUACACAAGAAACACAGGUUCCUGAAUAUUAAAAUAUGAAGCUCAUAGCCUUAAUACAGCUUCAUUAAGAGCAAAGCGAGGUAGUUUCUUCGGGAGUGGAAGUUAAUGCUCUGUGUUCCACGCCAGCUCUCUAUCUGCAUGUAAAACAGCAUGCACUGGUGCUUUAACUGCAUGAGGCAGUGCCAUCCGUCUACACUCUGCUCCCUACUACCAGGCCGGUGGCCAAAGAAGGGGAGGCAGAGUCCAGGGCAGGGAUGGGCCGUGGCCAAACAGGCCAGGAAACCAGAGGAACUUUGCUGCCCGUGGCCAGUUCUGCUUCUUCAAAAAGUUCUGCUCUUGGAGAAGGCGGCUGGGCAUGGCCGGUCCCCCCCACUGCGAGCUGCGAGAGACCUACAAUCGAAGCCAACACACCUGGUUUCACAGGCUCGCAAUUACUCUGCUGCUGUGCAUGAAGCCAGGCCAAGAUUCAGUGCAUUCCAACACAAUUCCUUAUUCAUCGGUCCAGAGAUUUCCAAGCUUUGAAAAAAUAUAAGACUCAGCUCAGCUCACCCUUUACCUAAAUAAAGCUUUCUUAUUGUACUCCUUAUUUCUCCUACUAAGAAAACUCCAAAAAAAAAAAAAAAAAACUCCAAUGCAGGGAAAAUGUAUUUCUCUUUCCUUUUUAAAAUGAAUUCAGGGGGAUCCCUGGGUGGCUCAGCGGUUUAGCUCUUGCCUUUGGCCCAGGACGUGAUCCUGAGGAUCCGGGAUCGAGUCCCACAUCGGGCUCCCUGCAUGGAGCCUGCUUCUCUGUGUCUCUGUCUCUGUCUCUCAUGAAUAAAUAAAUAAAAUAGUAAAAAUAAAUAAAAUAAAAUGAAUUCAGUUUUGUGUGACGCUUACAUGCUUUCUUCAGAACACUUCAGGGAGGGCAAAGGCAAGGAAUGAGAUUCGAGACUAUAGGAACACCAGUCCCCAGAAGAGAGGGAGAAAGAGCAGUCAAUGUAGUGAAGGCCAAGGAGGUGCGUGGGGCGGGGGGCGCAGAGUAAGUCAUUGUGAAUAUGGUACCAUGCAAGCAAAACCUUCACCCACAUGUUCUUCUUUCCAGAAAGUUCCUCACGCUAAAUAGUGUGUUCUACUAUGUCCAUAAAUACAUUUGGCUCUCAGACCUCGUGUUGUAAGAUAACCAUUGCACGGAGCAUUGAUUACAUAAUUUUAAGUGAGUGAUUACUGUGAUGUGUGCUGAUUAUAUAAACAGGAAUGUGAACAUGCUCAAAAAGUAGUACCACACUGGAUCCUGCUUUCGUUCAUUUAUAUGAAGCAGAAAUCGGCAACAUCACAUCUUUAUGUUCCGCCAGGGAUUAGUUUGGAGGGAAUUAGGUAGAGAACAUACCACACUUUGCAGCCUAUGCAGUGAACAAACUUAUUAGCUAAAAUCUAGAGGAAGAAAAAAAAAUCAAAUUGCUCUAUUUUUAGUGACGGAGUCCUGUCUUCCUCUCCUUUGCAGGUAACGCUGUUCCUUCCUAGGACUGGGAGGGGGACAUAAGAGGAAAGGAAAGUUUCAAGCUCACUCCUGCUCCAUUGUGAGCCACGCGUGUGAUUAACACAAUUCCUCAACCACAUUUCAGGUUCACUGUUCCAUAUGUUCCCAGGUUCCAGACUCCAUAUGAAAUGAUAUGUACAUAAAUGAGGGAUGUGUCGAAGGAAAAUAGAUACUAAAGCUCUUAAAAGACAAUACACCAGAUAGCUUUCUACCUUUAACUUUGUUCCUCCCUGGAACACCUGGGUGGCUCAGCAAUUGAGCAUCUGCCUUUGGCUCAGGUUGUGAUCCCAGGGCCCUGGGAUCGAAUCCUGCAUCGGGCUCCCUGCAGGGAACCUGCUUCUCCCUCUGCCUGUGUCCCUGCCUCUCUCUCUGUAUCUCAUGAAUAAAUAAAUUAAAUCUUAAAAAAAAAAAAACCUUUGUUCCUCCCUAUGCCACCAUGACCUAACGUUCAGUGAGGGAAAUACUCCUGGUCAGAAGCAUCAGCUACCCCCGUAUUUCUUUAAAAAAAAAAGAUUUUAUUUUUAUUUAUGAGAGAGCACGCAUGAGCAGGGGGAGGAGGAGAGGGAGAAGGAAAAGCAGACUCCACACUGAGCACAGAGCCUGAUGCGGGGCUCAAUCCUGGGACCCUGAAAUCCUGACCUGAGCUGAAACCAAGAGUCGGACGCUUAACUGACUGAACGCCCCCACCCCAGGGGCCCUAUCGCUGUAGUUCUUAGGGAAGCAGGUUUCAGGCUUCUCUAAGGUGAAUUUAGACUGUCUGCAAAGUCUGAGUGAGUCAACACUCUGACUAUAAAUGCCAUGUGGCCAAUAGAGAGAUCAGACUGUGCAAGACUUCAGUACCCCAGGGAGGGGGUCCCCUGACCUUUGGUUCCUGGUCGAGAAGGACAAAACAAGGGGAACAGGGGCCCAAACUGUCAAAUGGGCAAUGCCAGAGAGAGACGAACCUUGGCAAAGAGAAGAGUCCAGGAACUGUCUUCAGUGAUCAACGGGGCCAUAUGUCAGCAGGAGGCGACUUGCCUCGAGUUCAGAACGUGCAUCCCAGGGAGGCAGACUGCAUCCAACAUGAGGCCAAGCUAUAAACAUGGCCAGACACUGAACAGGCUGCCUCAGAAAACAUGGCAUUCCCCCUUCCUGGAGAUGUUCAGGCCAAGGAAGGAGAAACUAUUUAUUGCAGAUUUCAAAAUGGAGAUACAAGGACUGAACUAAAUGGCCUUUAAGGGUUCUCCGCAAUUCAGAGACUAUAUUAUCAUCUUCCCUUCUCUGGUCCUCAACCUCAACUGGGGUCCUAAGAGAAACACUGGAAAUCUUCCUAUAUUACAAAUGAGAUCUUUGCUGAGCUCCCAACUUACCUUCGCCAAUGGGUACGGCCUCUCUUAGUUGGUCUGGGAACACAGUAGGGGUUUCAGGCCGUGCUACAGGGAGCUCAAAAAAGCUCUUAUCCCUGGGGGCCUGGAGGGGCUCAGUCAGUUGAGCAUCUGACUCUUCAUUUCAGCUCAGGUCAUGAUCACAGGGUCAUGAGCUCGAGCCCCACAUUGGGUUCUGUACUGUUCGUGGAGCCUGCUUAAGCUUCUCUCUCUCCCUCUCCCUCUGCCCCUCUCCUUUCUCUCUCCCUCCCUAACAAAGUUCUCUUAUUCCAACCUGAGUAGAGCUUAACCUAAGUCAGUUACAGACACCUACACAGACAACCUGCAUCCAACUAGUUCAUGAAGUCCCCACGGAACCCCCCAACUCCUCACCCUCUCACAUGCAGGCAUCUUUGUGCCUGCACCCAGACCUCUAUGUGCCACAGCCAACUCCCUUUCGCAGGCUCCCUUGUGAUGAAAACCUCUCAAAAUGAACAUGCUCUUACAGUUGCCCAAUCGGCAUCCUUGUCCCUUGUCUCCAGUCCUGAUCUAGGUUGUCACACAACCUCCUCAAGCCAAGUUGUGAGGUAACUGGAAGGCUCAGAUCUGAACCAAGGGAUCACAGACCAGAUAUUGACUCUUUGCUUUUGGUUUAUCAGGUCUUCA
RNAcentral lists this long non-coding RNA (6417 nucleotides) under Canis lupus familiaris (dog). RNAcentral's name for it is "lncRNA (ENSCAFG00000050704.1)". The record is from RNAcentral. Lineage: Eukaryota; Metazoa; Chordata; Mammalia; Carnivora; Canidae.